Molecule: ribosomal RNA, 253 nt
Filed under: uncultured bacterium
Lineage: Bacteria
Description: partial 16S ribosomal RNA
Rfam family: Bacterial small subunit ribosomal RNA
Source: RNAcentral
UACAGAGGUGGCAAGCGUUGUUCGGAAUUACUGGGCGUAAAGGGCGCGUAGGCGGUUCGAUAAGUCCCGUGUGAAAUCCUUCGGCUCAACUGAGGAACUGCACGGGAAACUGACGGGCUUGAGUUCGGGAGAGGGAAGCGGAAUUCCGGGUGUAGCGGUGAAAUGCGUAGAUAUCCGGAGGAACACCGGUGGCGAAGGCGGCUUCCUGGACCGACACUGACGCUGAGGCGCGAAAGCUAGGGGAGCAAACGGG